CGACUUAUAUUCUGUAGCAAGGUUAACCGUAUAGGGGAGCCGAAGGGAAACCGAGUCUUAACUGGGCGUUAAGUUGCAGGGUAUAGACCCGAAACCCGGUGAUCUAGCCAUGGGCAGGUUGAAGGUUGGGUAACACUAACUGGAGGACCGAACCGACUAAUGUUGAAAAAUUAGCGGAUGACCUGUGGCUGGGGGUGAAAGGCCAAUCAAACCGGGAGAUAGCUGGUUCUCCCCGAAAGCUAUUUAGGUAGCGCCUCGUGAACUCAUCUUCGGGGGUAGAGCACUGUUUCGGCUAGGGGGCCAUCCCGGCUUACCAACCCGAUGCAAACUACGAAUACCGAAGAAUGUUAUCACGGGAGACACACGGCGGGUGCUAACGUCCGUCGUGAAGAGGGAAACAACCCAGACCGCCAGCUAAGGUCCCAAAGUCAUGGUUAAGUGGGAAACGAUGUGGGAAGGCACAGACAGCCAGGAUGUUGGCUUAGAAGCAGCCAUCAUUUAAAGAAAGCGUAAUAGCUCACUGGUCGAGUCGGCCUGCGCGGAAGAUGUAACGGGGCUAAACCAUGCACCGAAGCUGCGGCAGCGACACUUAUGUGUUGUUGGGUAGGGGAGCGUUCUGUAAGCCGUUGAAGGUGUGCUGUGAGGCAUGCUGGAGGUAUCAGAAGUGCGAAUGCUGACAUAAGUAACGAUAAAGCGGGUGAAAAGCCCGCUCGCCGGAAGACCAAGGGUUCCUGUCCAACGUUAAUCGGGGCAGGGUGAGUCGACCCCUAAGGCGAGGCCGAAAGGCGUAGUCGAUGGGAAACAGGUUAAUAUUCCUGUACUUGNUGCGAAAGCGUGGGGAGCAAACAGGAUUAGAUACCCUGGUAGUCCACGCCGUAAACGAUGUCGACUUGGAGGUUGUGCCCUUGAGGCGUGGCUUCCGGAGCUAACGCGUUAAGUCGACCGCCUGGGGAGUACGGCCGCAAGGUUAAAACUCAAAUGAAUUGACGGGGGCCCGCACAAGCGGUGGAGCAUGUGGUUUAAUUCGAUGCAACGCGAAGAACCUUACCUACUCUUGACAUCCAGAGAACUUUCCAGAGAUGGAUUGGUGCCUUCGGGAACUCUGAGACAGGUGCUGCAUGGCUGUCGUCAGCUCGUGUUGUGAAAUGUUGGGUUAAGUCCCGCAACGAGCGCAACCCUUAUCCUUUGUUGCCAGCGGUUAGGCCGGGAACUCAAAGGAGACUGCCAGUGAUAAACUGGAGGAAGGUGGGGAUGACGUCAAGUCAUCAUGGCCCUUACGAGUAGGGCUACACACGUGCUACAAUGGCGCAUACAAAGAGAAGCGACCUCGCGAGAGCAAGCGGACCUCAUAAAGUGCGUCGUAGUCCGGAUUGGAGUCUGCAACUCGACUCCAUGAAGUCGGAAUCGCUAGUAAUCGUGGAUCAGAAUGCCACGGUGAAUACGUUCCCGGGCCUUGUACACACCGCCCGUCACACCAUGGGAGUGGGUUGCAAAAGAAGUAGGUAGCUUAACCUUCGGGAGGGCGCUUACCACUUUGUGAUUCAUGACUGGGGUGAAGUCGUAACAAGGUAACCGUAGGGGAACCUGCGGUUGGAUCACCU
Molecule: ribosomal RNA, 1601 nt
Filed under: Enterobacter cloacae
Lineage: Bacteria; Pseudomonadati; Pseudomonadota; Gammaproteobacteria; Enterobacterales; Enterobacteriaceae
Description: bacterial SSU rRNA
Rfam family: Bacterial small subunit ribosomal RNA (bases 686-1601)
Source: RNAcentral